This 659-nucleotide long non-coding RNA is filed under the name Anas platyrhynchos platyrhynchos (common mallard). RNAcentral's name for it is "lncRNA (ENSAPLG00000024533.1)". Lineage: Eukaryota; Metazoa; Chordata; Aves; Anseriformes; Anatidae. The record is from RNAcentral.
AGCGUUACCGCCCCGCCACCGGCACCACCAGCACCCGGGCAGCGUCGGGGGCCGCGGGGAGCGGCGGACUCACGUCGCUCUCCACCUCGAUGUCGUCGUUGUCGCUCAUCGCUGCCGGCCGGGGAGCCGCGGGCCGCGCCGCCACAACAACAGCGCGCAGCGCGCCUGCGCCGCGCGGCCCCGCCCGCCCGCCUCAGCGCGCGGGGCCUUGUGGGGCGGGGAGUCCGCAGGGGGAGAGCGGGGAGGGGAAAGGGAGGGGCGGGGCUGUAUCGGGGACUACAAUUCCCAGAAGGCAGCGCGGCGCAUCGCGCGUUGCCCGCUGGGAGUUGUAGUCCCCCAGCCUGUAUGCGGGAGGCCCGCCCGCUGCCUCAGGGAGGGCGGCGGGGGCGGCUCUGUGGGGCCGGGGGGCGGCGUCUCGGGAAAGGGGAGGAAAAAGGGGGGAGUCCGAGGGGGUGGGGGAGGUGUGAGGGGGUUGGGGUUUCUGAGGGGAUUUGGGAUUUCUGAGGGGAUUUGGCGUUUCUGAGGGAGUUUGGGAUUUCUGUGGGGUUUUGGGUUUCUGAGGGGAUUUGGGAUUUUUGCAGGGUUUGGGACAUCUGGGGAUUUGGGAUGUCUCUGGAGAUUUGGGCUUUCCGCAGGGAUUUGGGAUUUCUGUGAGGUUU